Molecule: ribosomal RNA, 462 nt
Filed under: uncultured bacterium
Lineage: Bacteria
Description: partial 16S ribosomal RNA
Rfam family: Bacterial small subunit ribosomal RNA
Source: RNAcentral
GAUCAACGCUGGCGGCGUGCUUAACACAUGCAAGUCGAACGAAGUUUUUCCUUCGGGAGACACUUAGUGGCGGACGGGUGAGUAACGCGUGGGUAACCUGCCCUGUACAGGGGGACAACAGCUGGAAACGGCUGCUAAUACCGCAUAAGCACUUAGCACUGCAUGGUGCAUAGGGAGAAGGAGCAAUCCGGUACAGGAUGGACCCGCGUCUGAUUAGCCAGUUGGCAGGGUAACGGCCUACCAAAGCGACGAUCAGUAGCCGAUCUGAGAGGAUGUACGGCCACAUUGGGACUGAGACACGGCCCAGACUACUACGGGAGGCAGCAGUGGGGAAUAUUGCACAAUGGAGGAAACUCUGAUGCAGCGACGCCGCGUGAGUGAAGAAGUAUUUCGGUAUGUAAAGCUCUAUCAGCAGGGAAGAAAAUGACGGUACCUGACGAAGAAGCACCGGCUAAAUACGUG